GGAUGACCCGCGUCGCAUUAGCUAGUUGGUGAGGAUACGGCUCACCAGGCAACGAUGCGUAGCCGACCUGAGAGGGUGAUGGCCACACUGGGACUGAACACGGCCCAGACUCCUACGGGAGGCAGCAGUAGGGAAUCUUCCGCAAUGGAGAAAGUCUGACGGAGCAACGCCGCGUGAGUGAUGAAGGCUUUCGGGUCGUAAAACUCUGUUGUUAGGGAAGAACAAGUGCUAGUUGAAUAAGCUGGCACCUUGACGGUACCUAACCAGAAAGCCACGGCUAACUACGUGCCAGCAGCCGCGGUAAUACGUAGGUGGCAAGCGUUAUCCCGGAAUUAUUGGGCGUAAAGCGCGCGAGGUGGUCUUAAGUCUGAUGUGAGCCCACGGCACAACCGUGGAGGUCAUUGGAAACUGGGAGACUUGAGUGCAGAAGAGGAAAGUGGAAUUCCAUGUGUAGCGGUGAAUGCGUAAGAUAUGGAGGAACACCAGUGGCGAAGGCGACUUUCUGGUCUGUAACUGACACUGAGGCGCGAAAGCGUGGGGAGCAAACAGGAUAUUAUACCCUGGUAGUCCACGCCGUAAACGAUGAGUGCUAAGUGUUAGAGGGUUUCCGCCCUUUAGUGCUGAAGUUAACGCAUUAAGCACUCCGCCUGGGGAGUACGGCCGCAAGGCUGAAACUCAAAGGAAUUGACGGGGGCCCGCACAAGCGGUGGAGCAUGUGGUUUAAUUCGAAGCAACGCGAAGAACCUUACCAGGUCUUGACAUCCUCUGACAACCCUAGAGAUAGGGCUUCCCCUUCGGGGGCAGAGUGACAG
RNAcentral lists this ribosomal RNA (812 nucleotides) under Bacillus sp. OSR31. RNAcentral's name for it is "bacterial SSU rRNA". It matches the Rfam family "Bacterial small subunit ribosomal RNA", at positions 224 to 1037 of the family's 1533-position model. Lineage: Bacteria; Bacillati; Bacillota; Bacilli; Caryophanales; Bacillaceae. The record is from RNAcentral.